This 330-nucleotide unclassified non-coding RNA is filed under the name soil metagenome. RNAcentral's name for it is "partial contains 5.8S ribosomal RNA, internal transcribed spacer 2, and large subunit ribosomal RNA". The stretch from base 1 to 120 matches the Rfam family "5.8S ribosomal RNA", at positions 35 to 154 of the family's 154-position model. The record is from RNAcentral.
GAUGAAGAACGUAGCGAAAUGCGAUACGUAAUGUGAAUUGCAGAAUUCAGUGAAUCAUCGAGUCUUUGAACGCACAUUGCGCCCCCUGGUAUUCCGGGGGGCAUGCCUGUCCGAGCGUCAUUGCUGCCCUCAAGCACGGCUUGUGUGUUGGGCCCCGCCGCCCCGGCGGGCCCUAAAGUCAGUGGCGGUGCCGUCCGGCUCCGAGCGUAGUAAUUCUUCUCGCUCUGGAGGUCCGGUCGUGUGCUCGCCAGCAACCCCCAAUUUUUUUCAGGUUGACCUCGGAUCAGGUAGGGAUACCCGCUGAACUUAAGCAUAUCAAUAAGCGGAGGA